This 250-nucleotide ribosomal RNA is filed under the name uncultured bacterium. RNAcentral's name for it is "partial 16S ribosomal RNA". It matches the Rfam family "Bacterial small subunit ribosomal RNA", at positions 524 to 773 of the family's 1533-position model. The record is from RNAcentral.
UACGUAGGGGGCGAGCGUUGUCCGGAUUUACUGGGCGUAAAGCGCGUGUAGGUGGCGGCUUAAGUCGGGUGUGAAAGCCCGGGGCUCAACCCCGGGACGCCGCCCGAAACUGGGGCGCUUGAGGCCGGAAGAGGGGCGUGGAAUUCCCGGUGUAGUGGUGAAAUGCGUAGAGAUCGGGAGGAACACCUGUGGCGAAGGCGGCCCCCUGGGCCGGCCCUGACACUGAGACGCGAAGGCGUGGGGAGCGAAC